GGAAGAGGGGACGGCGUCUGGUCAGCAUGGCCCUUAGGCCUGGGCGACACACGUGCUACAAUGCCCACUCAAAGCGAUGCCACCCGGCAACGGGGAGCUAAUCGCAAAAAGGUGGGCCCAGUUCGGAUUGGGGUCUGCAACCCGACCCCCAUGAAGCCGGAAUCGCUAGUAAUCGCGGAUCAGCCAUGCCGCGGUCGAAUACGUUCCCGGGCCUU
This 215-nucleotide ribosomal RNA is filed under the name uncultured Thermus sp. RNAcentral's name for it is "partial 16S ribosomal RNA". It matches the Rfam family "Bacterial small subunit ribosomal RNA", at positions 1169 to 1382 of the family's 1533-position model. Lineage: Bacteria; Thermotogati; Deinococcota; Deinococci; Thermales; Thermaceae. The record is from RNAcentral.